CAAGGAUUCCCAUAGUAACGGCGAGUGAACUGGGAAAAGCUCAGCGCUGAAUCGCACGGUAUAAGGCCGUAGUGAACUGUAGCGUAUAGGUGUAACUGCAUCAGCAGCUAUCCGCACACUCAAAGUUCCCUUGAGUGGGGCUACUUCCGUAGAAGGUGCAAGACCUGUAUGAGUGGCUGGUUGUUGUUGAUAUUGGUUACUGCUUCAGAGUCGAGUUGCCUGGGAACGCAGCUCAAAGUCGGUGGUAAACCUCAUCUAAAGCUAAAUAUGACUUCGAGACCGAUAGCGAACAAGUACCGUGAGGGAAAGUUGCAAAGAACUUCGAAGGGAGAGUUCAAAAGGACGUGAAACCACUAGGGGGGAAGCGGAUAGAGUUAACAGCAUGAUGGCGGCAUUCAGCCGAUCGGCGUUACGAACAGGAGGCGAUACGCUCCGGGACUAACCGGGCGUUUGCUUGCUAGCAUCGUAUGCGCGAUCGGUGCUUUUGCCGUCAUUGGCGCGCUGAGGUGCUCAGAGUGAUGUGUUUCAGAGUGUCGGUAGAGGACUGCGCUGCUCGUCAGCGCAGAACCCUACGGCGCUGUACAGACAUAUUCGCUGUGAGUGCAUGCAUACACGACUCUACCCGCUUUAGCGCACGGGCGCAGCUGCAGUCGUAUUGGCUGAUGCCAGUGGCUUAGUCACUGUGCUUCAUGUCCGAGUGUGGCGAUGGUUGCGUGUCGUGC
This 722-nucleotide ribosomal RNA is filed under the name Syphacia vandenbrueli. RNAcentral's name for it is "eukaryotic LSU rRNA". It matches the Rfam family "Eukaryotic large subunit ribosomal RNA", at positions 69 to 610 of the family's 3401-position model. Lineage: Eukaryota; Metazoa; Nematoda; Chromadorea; Rhabditida; Oxyuridae. The record is from RNAcentral.